CGCCCUUAGAGUUUGAUCAUGGCUCAGAUUGAACGCUGGCGGCAGGCUUAACACAUGCAAGUCGAGCGGGGAAGUAGCUUGCUACUGCCUAGCGGCGGACGGGUGAGUAAUACUUAGGAAUCUGCCUAUUAGUGGGGGACAACGUUCCGAAAGGAGCGCUAAUACCGCAUACGCCCUACGGGGGAAAGCAGUUCGUUGCACUAAUAGAUGAGCCUAAGUCGGAUUAGCUAGUUGGUGGGGUAAAGGCCUACCAAGGCGACGAUCUGUAGCGGGUUUGAGAGGAUGAUCCGCCACACUGGGACUGAGACACGGCCCAGACUCCUACGGGAGGCAGCAGUGGGGAAUAUUGGACAAUGGGCGCAAGCCUGAUCCAGCCAUGCCGCGUGUGUGAAGAAGGCCUUAUGGUUGUAAAGCACUUUAAGCGAGGAGGGAGGCUUACUAGUAAUCUAGUAAGUGGACGUUACUCGCAGAAUAAGCACCGGCUAACUCUGUGCAGCAGCCGCGGUAAUACAGAG
This 515-nucleotide ribosomal RNA is filed under the name uncultured Acinetobacter sp. RNAcentral's name for it is "bacterial SSU rRNA". It matches the Rfam family "Bacterial small subunit ribosomal RNA", at positions 1 to 530 of the family's 1533-position model. The record is from RNAcentral. Lineage: Bacteria; Pseudomonadati; Pseudomonadota; Gammaproteobacteria; Moraxellales; Moraxellaceae.